This 301-nucleotide ribosomal RNA is filed under the name uncultured bacterium. RNAcentral describes it as "partial 16S ribosomal RNA". It matches the Rfam family "Bacterial small subunit ribosomal RNA", at positions 509 to 807 of the family's 1533-position model. The record is from RNAcentral.
CAGCCGCCACGGUAAUACGUAGGGUGCGAGCGUUAAUCGGAAUUACUGGGCGUAAAGCGUGCGCAGGCGGUUGUGUAAGACAGGUGUGAAAUCCCCGGGCUUAACCUGGGAACUGCGCUUGUGACUGCACAGCUAGAGUAUGGCAGAGGGGGGUGGAAUUCCACGUGUAGCAGUGAAAUGCGUAGAGAUGUGGAGGAACACCGAUGGCGAAGGCAGCCCCCUGGGCCAAUACUGACGCUCAUGCACGAAAGCGUGGGGAGCAAACAGGAUUAGAUACCCCUGUAGUCCCUGUCUCUUAUAC